This 425-nucleotide ribosomal RNA is filed under the name uncultured bacterium. Its description in RNAcentral is "partial 16S ribosomal RNA". It matches the Rfam family "Bacterial small subunit ribosomal RNA", at positions 354 to 796 of the family's 1533-position model. The record is from RNAcentral.
GUGGGGAAUCUUGCGCAAUGGGCGAAAACCUGACGCAGCCAUGCCGCGUGAAUGAUGAAGGUCUUAGGAUUGUAAAAUUCUUUCACCGGGGACGAUAAUGACGGUACCCGGAGAAGAAGCUCCGGCUAACUUCGUGCCAGCAGCCGCGGUAAUACGAAGGGGGCUAGCGUUGCUCGGAAUUACUGGGCGUAAAGGGCGCGUAGGCGGACAGCUUAGUCAGAGGUGAAAGCCCAGGGCUCAACCUUGGAAUUGCCUUUGAUACUGGCUGUCUUGAGUUUGGGAGAGGUGAGUGGAACUCCGAGUGUAGAGGUGAAAUUCGUAGAUAUUCGGAAGAACACCAGUGGCGAAGGCGACUCACUGGCCCAAUACUGACGCUGAGGCGCGAAAGCGUGGGGAGCAAACAGGAUUAGAUACCCUAGUAGUCC